Molecule: ribosomal RNA, 231 nt
Filed under: Triticum aestivum (bread wheat)
Lineage: Eukaryota; Viridiplantae; Streptophyta; Magnoliopsida; Poales; Poaceae
Description: partial small subunit ribosomal RNA
Source: RNAcentral
AUGGCCCAGCAUGCAUCACAUCACCACGUCUACUUGGGUGACAAGGGCUUCAAGGCGCUCGCCUCCCUCAUGAUGCUCAUCUCUUGGGAGGUUUGAUCGGAGCGCAAUGCUAGAGUCUUUCGCAACUUAGCGGCCGCUUCCAUGACAAUCAUCGACAAAAUCAAGCAGGAGGUAUCGCUUUGGGCUUUGGCUGGAGCGAAACAUUUAGGUGUUGUAGUGUCGCGAGAAUAG